CUAGCUGUAAACGAUGGAUACUAGGCGUUGAGAGUAUCGACCCUCUCAGUGUCGUAGCUAACGCGUUAAGUAUCCCGCCUGGGGAGUACGCGCGCAAGCGUGAAACUCAAAGGAAUUGACGGGGGCCCGCACAAGCGGUGGAGUAUGUGGUUUAAUUCGAUGCAACGCGAAGAACCUUACCAGGGCUUGACAUGUCCGGAACCCUGCCCAAAGGCGGGGGUGCCUACGGGAACAGGAACACAGGUGGUGC
RNAcentral lists this ribosomal RNA (250 nucleotides) under uncultured Chroococcidiopsis sp. Its description in RNAcentral is "partial 16S ribosomal RNA". It matches the Rfam family "Bacterial small subunit ribosomal RNA", at positions 796 to 1044 of the family's 1533-position model. Lineage: Bacteria; Bacillati; Cyanobacteriota; Cyanophyceae; Chroococcidiopsidales; Chroococcidiopsidaceae. The record is from RNAcentral.